Molecule: non-coding RNA, 412 nt
Organism: Pelobates cultripes (western spadefoot toad)
Lineage: Eukaryota; Metazoa; Chordata; Amphibia; Anura; Pelobatidae
Source: the annotation of a GenBank genome assembly
AAGUAUAUUAGUACUUAGGCAAUACUGUGCUUCGGAACUUCGGCACUUCGGCACUUCGGCACUUGACACUUUGGAAAUUCGGUAAUUUUGCAACUUCGGGACCUCGGCAAUUCAACACUUCGGCAAUUCGGACAUUCGGAAGUACCCGAAUAUCCGAAUUGCCCGAAAUUCGUCUGAAUUCAUAUUCGGAUCGAAACGAAUUGCACAUGUCUAAUACAGGGGGACCACAAGAUAUUCGAGUGUCAGGAGGGUUUGUUUCGUAUCUUGAACAUAGGAAUCUAAAUUACUCACAAAUGGGUGAAGAAGUUUUUCUAAGAACUUACUGGCUUUUUCAGACAGAGAGUUAUUGCCAGAAAUUAUUGGUCUCCCUGGGGGGUUGUCAAGGACUUUUGGAAGACAAUAGAAAGUGGGG